CUGAGCCAGAUGCCGUACACGGGUGAAUCCGGUGACAUGUGAAAUGCGUCUUAGUAAAGGCGAAGGAACAAAGAAGGAGCUGAGGUGGUGGGGCAGUGGGAAAAGUGAUUACUUUCAAGUGCGAGGACCCAGAUUCAGUCUCCAGAACUGUGUAGAAAAUUUUGGAGUGGAGGUGCAUAAUCCCAAGACUGAGGGCCCAUAACUUCCCCAAACACUGCCACCAGCUAGGACCAAGUGCACAUACAUGAACCUAUGAAGACAUUCUGCAUUCACAUCGCUGUACCUCAUCUCAAGACACAGAUGGGGGUCAGGGAGAUGGCUUAGCGUGAAAGCACUUAUCAUAGGAUAUCACUCUGUAGCCCUGGCUGGUCUGGAA
Mus musculus (house mouse) is the source of this 376-nucleotide long non-coding RNA. RefSeq annotates it as predicted gene, 53702. The record is from RefSeq and is a predicted model, not a curated record. The transcript is spliced from 3 exons. NCBI's taxonomy places the organism in Eukaryota, Metazoa, Chordata, Mammalia, Rodentia, Muridae.